RNAcentral lists this ribosomal RNA (503 nucleotides) under uncultured bacterium. RNAcentral describes it as "bacterial SSU rRNA". It matches the Rfam family "Bacterial small subunit ribosomal RNA", at positions 26 to 518 of the family's 1533-position model. The record is from RNAcentral.
AGGAUGAACGCUAGCUACAGGCUAACACAUGCAAGUCGAGGGGCAGCAUUAUCGAAGCUUGCUUUGAUAGAUGGCGACCGGCGCACGGGUGAGUAACGCGUAUCCAACCUUCCCCAUAGUAGGGCAUAGCCCGUAGAAAUGCGGAUUAAUACCCUAUGUAUUCCGAGGAUGACAUCUGAUUCGGAACAAAGGUUCACCGCUAUGGGAUGGGGAUGCGUCUGAUUAGGUAGUAGGCGGGGUAACGGCCCACCUAGCCGACGAUCAGUAGGGGUUCUGAGAGGAAGGUCCCCCACAUUGGAACUGAGACACGGUCCAAACUCCUACGGGAGGCAGCAGUGAGGAAUAUUGGUCAAUGGGCGAGAGCCUGAACCAGCCAAGUAGCGUGCAGGAUGACGGCCCUAUGGGUUGUAAACUGCUUUUAUACAGGGAUAAAGUCGGGGACGCGUUCCCCGUUUGCAGGUACUGUAUGAAUAAGGACCGGCUAAUUCCGUGCCAGCCGCGGC